ACCUCUAGCAUAACCAGUAUUAGAGGCCCUGCCUGCCCAGUGACACACGCUUAAACGGCCGCGGUAUCCUGACCGUGCAAAGGUAGCAUAAUCACUUGUUCCUUAAAUAGGGACUAGUAUGAACGGCUUGACGAGGGUUAAACUGUCUCUUGCUUUUUAUCAGUGAAAUUGACCUCCCCGUGAAGAGGCGGGGAUAUAAAAAUUAGACGAGAAGACCCUAUGGAGCUUAAAUUUACUAGUCUAAGCAAACAACUACUACAUCCAAUAGGCCUAAACACUUUGCCUAUAGACUAAAAAUUUUGGUUGGGGUGACCUCGGAGUAUAAAUAACCCUCCGAACAGUAUUAAUCAAGACACACCCGUCUAAAUCAUAACCUAAUUGACCCAAAUAUAUUUGAUCAAUGGAACAAGUUACCCUAGGGAUAACAGCGCAAUCCUACUCAAGAGUCCCUAUCGACAGUAGGGUUUACGACCUCGAUGUUGGAUCAGGACAUCCAAAUGGUGCAGCCGCUAUUAUUGGUUCGUUUGUUCAACGAUUAAAGUC
Molecule: ribosomal RNA, 543 nt
Filed under: Myosciurus pumilio (African pygmy squirrel)
Lineage: Eukaryota; Metazoa; Chordata; Mammalia; Rodentia; Sciuridae
Description: partial 16S ribosomal RNA
Rfam family: Bacterial large subunit ribosomal RNA
Source: RNAcentral